This 65-nucleotide transfer RNA is filed under the name Tubuca rosea. RNAcentral describes it as "tRNA-Gly". Lineage: Eukaryota; Metazoa; Arthropoda; Malacostraca; Decapoda; Ocypodidae. The record is from RNAcentral.
ACUUUCUUAGUAUAUAAAGUAUAUUUGACUUCCAAUUAAAAGGACUAAAACAUUUAGAGAAAGUA